GAUUCUGGCUCAGAACGAACGCUGGCGGCGCGUCUUAAGCAUGCAAGUCGAACGGCAAGAGGUAGCAAUACCUCCUAGAGUGGCGGACUGGUGAGUAACACGUGGGUGACAUACCCUUCAGAUGGGGAUAGCUAUUAGAAAUAGUAGAUAAUACCGAAUACGAGCACAGGGGUUAGAGAUCUGUGAGGAAAGGAGCUAAGGCUCCGCUGAAGGAAUGGCCUGCGGCCCAUUAGCUAGUUGGUGAGGUAAGAGCCCACCAAGGCGAUGAUGGGUAUCCGGCCUUAGAGGGUGAACGGACACAUUGGGACUGAGAUACGGCCCAGACUCCUACGGGAGGCAGCAGCUAAGAAUAUUCCGCAAUGGACGAAAGUCUGACGGAGCGACGCCGCGUGGAUGAAGAAGGCCGGAAGGUUGUAAAAUCCUUUUGAAACUGAAGAAUAAGCGUUGUAGGGAAUGACAGCGUGGUGACAGUAGGUUUUGAAUAAGCAACGGCUAAUUACGUGCCAGCCGCCGC
Molecule: ribosomal RNA, 514 nt
Filed under: uncultured bacterium
Lineage: Bacteria
Description: bacterial SSU rRNA
Rfam family: Bacterial small subunit ribosomal RNA
Source: RNAcentral